GACGAACGCUGGCGGCGCGCCUAAUGCAUGCAAGUCGAGCGACGCAUGCCCGGUGGGUAACCACUAGGUAUGACGGAGCGGCGAACGGGUGAGUAACACGUGAGUAACCUGCCCCGAAGACCGGGAUAGCCCGGGGAAACCCGGAUUAAUACCGGAUACCCUCUCUGGAUCGCAUGGUCCGGUGAGGAAAUGCCUUUGUGCUUCGGGAUGGACUCGCGGCCUAUCAGCUUGUUGGUGAGGUAACGGCUCACCAAGGCUACGACGGGUAGCUGGUCUGAGAGGACGAUCAGCCACACUGGGACUGAGACACGGCCCAGACUCCUACGGGAGGCAGCAGCAGGGAAUCUUGUCCAAUGGGCGCAAGCCUGAGACAGCGACGCCGCGUGAGGGAUGAAGGCCGUCGGGUUGUAAACCUCUUUCAGGAGGGACGAAAUUGACGGUACCUCCAGAAGAAGCCCCGGCCAACUACGUG
This 472-nucleotide ribosomal RNA is filed under the name uncultured bacterium. RNAcentral describes it as "bacterial SSU rRNA". It matches the Rfam family "Bacterial small subunit ribosomal RNA", at positions 28 to 507 of the family's 1533-position model. The record is from RNAcentral.